This 1877-nucleotide long non-coding RNA is filed under the name Nicotiana tabacum (common tobacco). Its description in RNAcentral is "long non-coding RNA (NTAB_LNC016535)". The record is from RNAcentral. Lineage: Eukaryota; Viridiplantae; Streptophyta; Magnoliopsida; Solanales; Solanaceae.
UCGACUAAGUCUGUUGCUACAGCACCUUAACAGACCCAUGAUACUAUACAAUGAUAAGAACUAAACUAUCAAAACACAGAAUCAAAAAGAGGUACAGCUGAAGCACAAAUAACUGGUACUAUACUUUAAACUUUCUGCUUCUCAUUUCACUUUUCAAAUCCAACUUCUCAACCAAUAGGGCUUAAAAGUGUGCACCUGGAUAUCGAGAGAAAUCAAAGAAAAUGAGGACUUAGCAGCAGUAACAGAGCAUAUGAACCAGCAGCUCCAAAACACAAACAGGCUCAAAUCUUAAACCAUUUUUACCCAGCAAAACAGAAGUUCUUCGAAGUUUUGAAUUCCAGUUAAUGCUUAAAACUAAAGAGCAAAUUUGGAACCAAUUUUUAACCCAAAAGAUGCAGAAAUAUCAAUGAACUCUCUCAGCCAUUUUUUUGAUUUUUCUGGUGUUCUCCUAGAGUGUGAUACCAAGCAGUGUUUGACCCCAAAUUAAUGCAGAGAAUUUUCAGUCUUUUAGGGUGUGUCCCCCGUGUGUUGAGUGAAAUAAAAAGCUUCAUUUAUAAGGCUGGGGGCUGUUGUGUGCCUUCCAAGGCAAGGCAAUCAGCUUUUCCCCAAAAUACCCUCACAGAGCAUCUUUUAAAACUGAUUUUUGGACAGUUGUCCUUUUCCUUCAGAUAUUUUCAAUUUUCUAGCCUGUCUCUCUUAACAAAUCUGGGCAGUUGUCCAUUUAGGAAGCUUCCCCAAUUGGUUACCAAAGAUUCCCAAGCUAACCAAUCUCCAGAACUACCCUUAAAGUUCCUAAUUAUACAUUUACCCCCCUCCCCUCCCCUACCCCCCCCCCCCCCCCCGAGUUCUGAAUGCUCACAAUCAUAAUAAAUAGUAGGCAAACGAGCUGACACUUUCAACCAGACUGAAAUUCAAAAAUAUUGUUGAAUCAUAUGAAAUCAUGAAGAAUUAGCCUGAAUUAAUCCUAAGAUCCUUCACACACAUAAACAUGAACUCAGAAAAUGCUCUUGAAAGCAGGAAUUAAUGCAGGCGAGGAACUAUACUUGACUAAUCUCAAAGCUUCAGUUCUAGAAUUAAUUCACAAACAUAAAAUGAAAUCUAGCCAAAAGAAGAGAAACUCACGAAUUGAAAACAAAUCAAACUCGAACCCUAUGAAAUCGAUUGUCAUUAACAAUUUAUCAAACAAGUUAACUAAUGAACUAGAAACAUAAUGCAAUUAAAUAAGAAAUGAAACUUCUGAAGAAAGAAAACUAGACAAACAAACAAACAAACAAAAAGAAAAGAUCAAAUGGAAACCAGUCAACACAAAAUUAUUCCAAACCUGCUUCAACAAGAAACUGCAUGAACUCGAAUAACCUUUUGAAGAUGAAAGUGAACCUUUGACGGUCAUUAAUCGAUUGUCCUUAACAAAAGGCAAAUGAUUAAUGACGGUUUGGGUUCACUCAACCUUGCUGAACCAGAAAAUAACAUAGGGAGAGACCUAGGGUGUUCCAUACCUCUGCUCCACCACUAACGGACUAGUUUGAGAGGAAACAAGAACAUAUUUGAGGAAGGAAGGAGAUGAGGGGUUUCGUGGUGUAAUUCUGGGCAGAUUUUGGGAAUUUUAAUGUUUUAGGCGAUGACCUUAAAUCUCAUAUUCAAGGCGACGGAGGGGGAUUUGAGAGGAAUUGUUUGGAGAUUUGGGAUGGGGAGGUGGAGGGGAGUUCAUGGUAUUAAUUUGGUAGUGAUUGGACCAUCGGAACCGCUUUGAGGCGAUUUCCGAUGGGCGGAGUAAGGCAGAGCAAGGUGGAGGCGAUGGGGAUUUAGGGCGGCGGUCUCUAGGGUUUGGGAGAGACACGAAAUGAGGGGGAAAUGGAAUGGUAGGGGAUAAGGGUCGU